GGAAGAAUUAGGGUUCGAUUUCGGAGAGGGAGCAUGAGAAACGGCUACCACAUCUAAGGAAGGCAGCAGGCGCGUAAAUUACCCAAUCCUGACUCAGGGAGGUAGUGACAAGAAAUAGCAAACCGGGAACCUCAUGGUUUCACGGUAUUGCAAUGAGAACAAUUUAAAACCCUUAGCGAGAAUCAAGUGGAGGACAAGUCUGGUGCCAGCACCCGCGGUAAUUCCAGCUCCACUAGCGUAUAUUAAAGUUGUUGCAGUUAAAAAGCUCGUAGUUGAACCUCUGUCUGGGGCUAGUUUUGGCUUUGGUCAGGCUAGUUCUAGGCAUCCGCCUACAAGACUUAGAGGGCAUUCAGUUGUUCACUAGGAGGAGUAGGCAUUUUACUUUGAAAAAAUUAGAGUGUUUAAGGCAGGCAAUCGCCCGCAUAUAUUAGCAUGGAAUAAUAGAAUAGGACACUUUUCCAUUUCGUUGGUUAUUGGAAUCGUGUAAUGAUUAAUAGGGACAGUUGUGGGCAUUUGUAUUUAAUUGUCAGAGGUGAAAUUCUUGGAUUUAUUAAAGACAAACUAACGCGAAAGCAUUUGCCAAGGAUGUUUUCAUUAAUCAAGAACGAAAGUUAGGGGAUCAAAGACGAUCAGAUACCGUCCUAGUCUUAACUAUAAACUAUUCCGACUCAAUGUUUGACUGGCUUAUAUAACCAGUUGAGCGUUGUAUGAGAAAUCAAAGUCUUUAGGUUCUGGGGGGAGUAUGGUUGCAAAGCUGAAACUUAAAGGAAUUGACGGAAGAGCACAACCAGGAGUGGAUUCUGCGGCUUAAUUUGACUCAACACGGGGAAACUUACCAGGUUAAAACAAUAGUGGGAUUGACAGUUUGAGAGCGCUUUCUUGAUUGGUUGGGUGGUGGUGCAUGGCCGUUCUUAGUUGGUGGAGUGAUUUGUCUGCUUAAUUGCGUUAACGAACGAGACCUUAACCUGCUUACUAGACUGGCGAUCAUCAAUCGUUAGCUCUUCUUAGAGGGACUUUGGUUGUUUUAACUCCAAGGAAGUUUGAGGCAAUAACAGGUCUGUGAUGCCCUUAGAUAUCCUGGGCCGCACGCGUCAUACAAUGACUAGUUCAGAAAGUUUUCUCCUGACCCGAAAGGGGAUGGGUAAUCUUGAUAAUACUAGUCGUGUUAGGGAUCGAUCUUUGCAAUUAUAGAUCUUGAACGAGGAAUUCCUAGUAAGUGCGGUUCAUCAGACCGUACUGAUUACGUCCCUGCUCUUUGUACACACCGCCCGUCGCUUCUACCGAGUGGGUGGUCCGGUGAGAUAAUUGAACUUCGCAGGUAACUGAGAGGAAAGAUUAUCAAACCUAUCCACCUCGAGGAAGAAGAAGUCGUAACAAGGUU
This 1381-nucleotide ribosomal RNA is filed under the name metagenome. RNAcentral describes it as "SSU rRNA". It matches the Rfam family "Eukaryotic small subunit ribosomal RNA", at positions 360 to 1801 of the family's 1831-position model. The record is from RNAcentral.